ACCUUUUUCUUGUAGAAUACCUAGACCUACAGUAUUGGCAGUCGCCGUCAUAGUUAAUGAGGUGCCGAGACAUCUUGGUGACAGGAAAUUCUGGGAAUUGAGAUUGGUAGGAGGUGAUUUGGGGGUAAUGAUUGAAGAGGAACCAAAUUUCUUUUGGACUGUGACAGUAAAAGAAUUAGAGGAGUAGAGGAGGUAGUGACCGAAACCGUAUAAAUUCAUCGCCGGAGUAACUGCUGGGUUAAAGAUGGACUGAUCGUGGUUGGGAGUUGGGGAUGGUUUGAGCGCCACAGCCUUCGAUGGUGGUUUCAAACAGCUGUGUGCUGCCUUUGAUUGUUAUGAAUGAUUUUGAGCGCCAUGACCUCCGAUGGUGGUUCCAGACUGUCGCGUGCUGCCUUUGAUUAUUGUGGAUGGUUUUGAGUGCCACGGCCUCCGAUGGUGGUUUCGGACUGUCGUGUGCUACCUUUGAUUGUUGUGGAUGGUUUUAAGUGCCACGACCUCCAAUGGUGGUUUUGGAAUGCCGUGUGUUGCCUAUUGUUGUGAUGGAUGGAUUGAUGUGUUGGAUGGAUAGUUGUGUUGGAUGGGUUGUGAUGUGUAUGAUUGUGUGUGUAUAUAUAUUGUAUACUGAUCCAUAGUCAUUGUUGAAAUUGAUUGUGGCAUGAUCAUAUGCAUUAUCAUCGGCCAUAUUUAUUGUGGUUAUUUCGAUUAUUUGCUCUUUGUUAAUGUAGAAUUAAUCUAUUCUAUAUCUUGUUCGUUGUU
This is a long non-coding RNA of Tripterygium wilfordii, 756 nucleotides long. RefSeq lists it as uncharacterized. The record is from RefSeq and is a predicted model, not a curated record. Lineage: Eukaryota; Viridiplantae; Streptophyta; Magnoliopsida; Celastrales; Celastraceae. The transcript has 3 exons.